Molecule: long non-coding RNA, 1515 nt
Filed under: Oncorhynchus mykiss (rainbow trout)
Lineage: Eukaryota; Metazoa; Chordata; Actinopteri; Salmoniformes; Salmonidae
Description: lncRNA (ENSOMYG00000054634.1)
Source: RNAcentral
UACCGUUUUCAUUUGGAUUUAAGUUACCUGCUACUUCAUCAUUUUUUGUACCUUUUUAAAGGUGACCAUUUUUCACAUCAGUUGGAAUCUGUUAUACCUCACCUGGAUUACAGUUCUUUCUUUCACCACCAUCCAGGAAUCUGUUACACCUCACCUGGAUUACAGUUCUUUCUUUCACCACCAUCCAGGAAUCUGUUACACCUCACCUGGAUUACAGUUAUUUCUGUUACCACCAUCCAGGAAUCUGUUACACCUCACCUGGAUUACAGUUCUUUCUUUUACCACUUACCAUCCAGGAAUCUGUUACACCUCACCUGGAUUACAGUUCUUUCUUUUACCACUUACCAUCCAGGAAUCUGUUACACCUCACCUGGAUUACAGUUCUUUCUUUUACCACUUACCAUCCAGGAAUCUGUUACACCUCACCUGGAUUACAGUUCUUUCUUUUACCACUUACCAUCCAGGAAUCUGUUACACCUCACCUGGAUUACAGUUCUUUCUUUUACCACUUACCAUCCAGGAAUCUGUUACACCUCACCUGGAUUACAGUUCUUUCUUUCACCACCAUCCAGGAAUCUGUUACACCUCACCUGGAUUACAGUUAUUUCUGUUACCACCAUCCAGGAAUCUGUUACACCUCACCUGGAUUACAGUUCUUUCUUUUACCACUUACCAUCCAGGAAUCUGUUACACCUCACCUGGAUUACAGUUCUUUCUUUUACCACUUACCAUCCAGGAAUCUGUUACACCUCACCUGGAUUACAGUUCUUUCUUUUACCACUUACCAUCCAGGAAUCUGUUACACCUCACCUGGAUUACAGUUCUUUCUUUCACCACUUACCAUCCAGGAAUCUGUUACACCUCACCUGGAUUACAGUUAUUUCUGUUACCACCAUCCAGGAAUCUGUUACACCUCACCUGGAUUACAGUUCUUUCUUUUACCACUUACCAUCCAGGAAUCUGUUACACCUCACCUGGAUUACAGUUCUUUCUUUUACCACUUACCAUCCAGGAAUCUGUUACACCUCACCUGGAUUACAGUUCUUUCUUUUACCACUUACCAUCCAGGAAUCUGUUACACCUCACCUGGAUUACAGUUCUUUCUUUCACCACUUACCAUCCAGGAAUCUGUUACACCUCACCUGGAUUACAGUUCUUUCUGUUACCACCAUCCAGGAAUCUGUUACACCUCACCUGGAUUACAGUUCUUUCUUUCACCACUUACCAUCCAGGAAUCUGUUACACCUCACCUGGAUUACAGUUCUUUCUUUCACCACUUACCAUCCAGGAAUCUGUUACACCUCACCUGGAUUACAGUUCUUUCUUUUACCACUUACCAUCCAGGAAUCUGUUACACCUCACCUGGAUUACAGUUCUUUCUUUCACCACUUACCAUCCAGGAAUCUGUGUGACAAACAAUGGAUAUUCAAUUCCAAAUGUGAUUUUCCUGUGUUUUAUGUAUACUUCCACGCUGAGGUUGGAAUAAUACUGGGAAAUUGUGAAAACAAAAUAUGA